GAAGAAUCAUUGGGCUGGAAGUUAUCAACCCAAAGUAACAGCAAUCAACAUACCUUUUACUGUAAAUCUCUUUCUCUACUUGUCUUCCAAAUCUCACUCAGCUUCAAAAAGUAAAAGUAAAAUCAUAUUCUAGGGCUUCGUUUUUUGUAUCUUGACUUGAAAAAUGGCGGACGACGCAAAUAGAACUGCUUUUAUUGAAAUUCAAGGUCGGAUGAUUGAGACUACCGGUAAAUUAAAGCAGGUUCAAACACAGAUUCGAAACAAAGAAACGGAAAAGAAGCGUGCUUAUUUGACAUUGGAGGAAUUGAAGCAGCUGUCUGAAGAUACUAAUACAUACAAAGCCAUAGGAAGAACGUAAGUUUUGAACUGACGUCUAUCAUGUCCUGCUGUCAUCCGAAAAAAGGAAAAGGAGACGUGGAUCAUAUACAUUGUUGUCCUGGAGUUCUCAAGUUUCUCUGCUUUUGUACCUAUCUCACUCUGAACAAUCUUUUAUGUUCAGGUUUAUCUUGGAGCCAAAGACUCUGUUAAUGAAUGAGCAAGAGCAAAAACUCAAGGAUAGUGAAACUGCAAUUGCCAAUUUGCAGACUUCUAAAGAGUAUUUGGAAAAACACUUGGCAGAGGUGGAGAAUAACCUUAGAGAGCUCUUACAACAAGAUCCUGGUCUUGCUCGUCAGAUAAUGACCAUGUAAUGAGAAAACAUUGUGUACUGGCUGUAUGAGGAAAUUAUCCACCCGAUGUCUGCCACUUCAAUUAUUGCUGCUGCAUUGGUCGUAGUGCUUGCUUUUAUUGGGCCUGGAGCUGGUCGAGGGACUGCUGCGAUCAAGUUGUAAUUCAUGAGAAAUGUUGUAUAUUAGCUACCUUAACAAUUUCGCACUCCUGAAAGAAGUAAACUGGCAUUGAGAAAGAAGCGCCUAAAUAUUGAUUGUAAGGAGAAAAAAGGGCUUGAAUUUGCAUAAAAUUUUACGGCAGAAGUUUUGAAUUC
Lycium barbarum (goji berry) is the source of this 982-nucleotide RNA transcript. It is a transcript of the gene named prefoldin subunit 1, with no coding region annotated. The transcript has 6 exons. The record is from RefSeq and is a predicted model, not a curated record. Lineage: Eukaryota; Viridiplantae; Streptophyta; Magnoliopsida; Solanales; Solanaceae.